GGGCCCGCACAAGCGGUGGAGUAUGUGGUUUAAUUCGAUGCAACGCGAAGAACCUUACCAGGGUUUGACAUCCUGCGAAUCUCUUGGAAACGAGAGAGUGCCUUCGGGAACGCAGUGACAGGUGGUGCAUGGCUGUCGUCAGCUCGUGUUGUGAAAUGUUGGGGUUAAGUCCCGUAACGAGCGCAACCCUUGUCCUUAUUUGCCAGCACGUAAUGGUGGGAACUCUAAGGAGACUGCCGGUGACAAACCGGAGGAAGGUGGGGACGACGUCAAGUCAUCAUGGCCCUUACGACCAGGGCUACACACGUGCUACAAUGGGGCGUACAGAGGGUUGCGAAGCCGCGAGGUGGAGCC
This 354-nucleotide ribosomal RNA is filed under the name uncultured bacterium. RNAcentral's name for it is "bacterial SSU rRNA". It matches the Rfam family "Bacterial small subunit ribosomal RNA", at positions 917 to 1269 of the family's 1533-position model. The record is from RNAcentral.